Unclassified non-coding RNA from Cercocebus atys (sooty mangabey), 324 nucleotides. Its record names the gene 7SK. It matches the Rfam family "7SK RNA". Rfam says of the family: 7SK was discovered as an abundant small nuclear RNA in the mid-70s but a possible function has only recently been suggested. NCBI's taxonomy places the organism in Eukaryota, Metazoa, Chordata, Mammalia, Primates, Cercopithecidae. The record is from Ensembl.
GGAUAUGAGUGCAAUCUGACGGCAACAUUUGUCAUCCCGUUGAUCGCCAGGGUUGAUUUGGGCGAUCUGGCUGGCUAGGCGGGUGUCCCCUUCCUCCUUUACUGCUCCAUGUGUGUCCCUGCUGAGGCUGCACACUUGGUUGGAGAGGACGACCUUCCCUGAUAGAGGAGGAUCGUUCUUUGGUCAAGGGUAUACCAGGAGCUGGAUUCACCUGCUGGAACCUCUGAACAAGCACUCUGGUUCACUCCUCGUUUCCUCCUGAGAAUCUUGGAAACAUUCAUUACAGUCUUAGAAUUCCUGGAAGCCUGUUGUGUCUGCAUCCUG